AGUCAAUGACUCAGGGUAGCCUCCGAACAUGAUGCUCGCAGUGGGUGCCACCUGGACUCCACUCUCCCCUCUCUCUGGGAUCAUAGAGUCCAAGGUGUUCUGUGGCCUCUCGGCCAAUCCCAGCAGCUCAGCGUGCAGAAGACUGAGGAGCCAUUGGAAUUCAACACAACACGAAAUAAUCGACAAAUUCGGGGAAUGUUAAUCUGACCAUCCCCAGUUACAAAUGAUGUUUCAUGCUACCUUCUAUUCCUGCCUUCAUAAAUCAAGGAAAAGAAAAAGAGAACAUAUAUCCCCCUACCUUUUGAUUUCCAACAGUCUACUGAGAGGCCAAAAUUAUUUGCAGGGAAAGAAAAGGGGAAUGCCAUCCCCACCCUCUCGCAGCUACAUGCCAGUUCCAGAGCACCUGUUCCCCUCUACUUUGAAAAGGUCAAAUUGUUUUGCCAGUAACUCCCAAAUCAUCUACAGCCAAGGAGAGAAGUGUUUCAAGACGGAGGUGCUCAAUGGUAUCAAAUACUGCCAACAGACCAAGUAAUACAUGCACUGAAGUGUCUACUGGAUCUAGCUAUAUGAAAUUUUAAUUUAGGACACUUAGGCCAUACUGAAGCAAGGUGACAAAAUGAAUAGCUACAAUGUCUCAUGAAUCUUGGGUUUCCAUUCACCCUGGUAUUCAAGAGAAAUUCUUGCAUCAUGGAAGUUGCAGUUGGAUAGGACUUUCUCAGCUGAACACUGUCAUCUGCCAGAGCUUCAGGCAAGAACCCAGAACAGAUGAAACCCCAGACAUGACAAAAUAAGCCAAGGAAUACCAGGCCAAGAUGUGAAAGGCCAGAUGAGAACAAGCAGCGUACACGAUUCUGUUGCCAACAGAUCUCCCCUAACAGUGUCGUGCACCAAAUUUCCACAGUGAAUGUCAGGAAAAAAUGGCAAUUGAGGUGGGUGGUCAAAAGAGAUGCACAGUCUAUGAUGAAGUCACCCCAGAGAAGUCCUUUUUCCUUUUUCUCCUGAGAAAACCAGAAGAAAUUAAAAUCCUUUUGAGUAUUGCAUUUAUCUCUGCAGUAACAUUAUUUGUUCUUAAGGAAUCUCUAUCAAAUUUGCAUCUUGUCUAAUUUAGCAGGGAAUGUCACCAGGAUAAGACAACUGCAAAACCCAUUUGGGUGUACCAAAUGACUUCAACUGAACCUCCAUGCAAACAACGUACAAGAUGCUUUCUUACUAAAUGCUCAAACAUCAAGUUCUACAUCCAGAACUGCCCCUCAACCCUCACCCUCUCGAACUCAGUAAAAAACAACCCUCUUUCUAGCUCUGCAUUUCCAAUGAAUGCCUCUUCCUCCAGACAUCCCUAGUUUUUGUUCAUGAUACUAGGACAUUCCUAAACCGGGAAUGUUAGAAUCAUGUGGACUGCUCGCUCCCUCCUUCAUUGCCUGAGUUUAAGCAAAUAAUAUUGAUUAGUUUUCCCCAA
RNAcentral lists this long non-coding RNA (1456 nucleotides) under Pan troglodytes (chimpanzee). RNAcentral's name for it is "lincRNA". The record is from RNAcentral. Lineage: Eukaryota; Metazoa; Chordata; Mammalia; Primates; Hominidae.